GGUUGGCUCAGUGGUAGAGUACUUGCCUUGCAUGCAUGAGGCCCUGGGUUCAAUUCCUCAGCACCA
Molecule: transfer RNA, 66 nt
Filed under: Dipodomys ordii (Ord's kangaroo rat)
Lineage: Eukaryota; Metazoa; Chordata; Mammalia; Rodentia; Heteromyidae
Rfam family: tRNA
About the family: Transfer RNA (tRNA) molecules are approximately 80 nucleotides in length. Their secondary structure includes four short double-helical elements and three loops (D, anti-codon, and T loops).
Source: Rfam by way of RNAcentral